CGGACGGGUGAGUAAUGCUUGGGAAUCUGGCUUAUGGAGGGGGAUAACUACGGGAAACUGUAGCUAAUACCGCGUAAUAUCUUCGGAUUAAAGGGUGGGACUUUCGGGCCACCUGCCAUAAGAUGAGCCCAAGUGGGAUUAGGUAGUUGGUGGGGUAAAGGCCUACCAAGCCGACGAUCUCUAGCUGGUCUGAGAGGAUGACCAGCCACACUGGAACUGAGACACGGUCCAGACUCCUACGGGAGGCAGCAGUGGGGAAUAUUGCACAAUGGGGGGAACCCUGAUGCAGCCAUGCCGCGUGAAUGAAGAAGGCCUUCGGGUUGUAAAGUUCUUUCGGUGAUGAGGAAGGCAGGUAAGUUAAUAGCUUACUUGAUUGACGUUAGUCACAGAAGAAGCACCGGCUAACUCCGUGCCAGCAGCCGCGGUAAUACGGAGGGUGCGAGCGUUAAUCGGAAUGACUGGGCGUAAAGGGCACGCAGGCGGUGACUUAAGUGAGAUGUGAAAGCCCCGGGCUUAACCUGGGUAUUGCAUUUCAUACUGGGUCGCUAGAGUAUUUUAGGGAGGGGUAGAAUUCCACGUGUAGCGGUGAAAUGCGUAGAGAUGUGGAGGAAUACCGAAGGCGAAGGCAGCCCCUUGGGAAUAUACUGACGCUCAUGUGCGAAAGCGUGGGGAGCAAACAGGAUUAGAUACCCUGGUAGUCCACGCUGUAAACGCUGUCGAUUUGGGGAUUGGGCUUUAAGCUUGGUGCCCGUAGCUAGCGUGAUAAAUCGACCGCCUGGGGAGUA
RNAcentral lists this ribosomal RNA (785 nucleotides) under uncultured Actinobacillus sp. RNAcentral's name for it is "bacterial SSU rRNA". It matches the Rfam family "Bacterial small subunit ribosomal RNA", at positions 99 to 882 of the family's 1533-position model. The record is from RNAcentral. Lineage: Bacteria; Pseudomonadati; Pseudomonadota; Gammaproteobacteria; Pasteurellales; Pasteurellaceae.